This 287-nucleotide long non-coding RNA is filed under the name Elaeis guineensis (African oil palm). RNAcentral's name for it is "long non-coding RNA (EGUI_LNC063535)". The record is from RNAcentral. Lineage: Eukaryota; Viridiplantae; Streptophyta; Magnoliopsida; Arecales; Arecaceae.
AUCAAUAGUUUAAGUAUAAAUAUAUGUCUUAAAAUUAUUACAAUGUGUCUAUCAUAUUGGCUUCUAGGGCAUACAUCUAACAAUCUCUCACUUGAUCUAAACUAAUUGACCACUAACCUAAGUCCCAUCUUCUCAAGGUGGACUUCAAUCUUCUGCUGGCUCAACUGCUUCAUCAAUGGUUCUACCACACUAUCAUUGGACUCUACUCUUCACACCUCAACGUAUUUUUUCUCGAGGUAGUCGUGUAUAAUAUAAAAUCACCACUCAAUGUGCUUGAACUUCUGAUG